This 22-nucleotide ribosomal RNA is filed under the name Polylepis australis. RNAcentral's name for it is "partial 26S ribosomal RNA". The record is from RNAcentral. Lineage: Eukaryota; Viridiplantae; Streptophyta; Magnoliopsida; Rosales; Rosaceae.
CGUGACCCCAGGUCAGGUGAGG